RNAcentral lists this transfer RNA (58 nucleotides) under Salmo salar (Atlantic salmon). It matches the Rfam family "tRNA", at positions 8 to 63 of the family's 71-position model. From Rfam's summary of the family: Transfer RNA (tRNA) molecules are approximately 80 nucleotides in length. Lineage: Eukaryota; Metazoa; Chordata; Actinopteri; Salmoniformes; Salmonidae. The record is from Rfam by way of RNAcentral. RNAcentral also lists the same sequence under 1 other name.
UAGCUCAGUUGGUAGAGCAUGGUGUUUGCAACGCCAGGGUUGUGGGUUCGAUUGCCAC